Long non-coding RNA from Mirounga angustirostris (Northern elephant seal), 952 nucleotides. RefSeq lists it as uncharacterized. The transcript is spliced from 3 exons. Lineage: Eukaryota; Metazoa; Chordata; Mammalia; Carnivora; Phocidae. The record is from RefSeq and is a predicted model, not a curated record.
UGAUUCAGCUCAUGUUGACACCCAUAUGUCCUUGACUGAAGGAAGGGAGGCCGUCUAUCUGCAGACGGGGGGAAACCCACCUCCGAGAAAACACUACGGGCUUGGACGGUGGCUGUCCAGCGUGUUUGGUAAGAAGUCGUCCCUCCGCAUAGGAACAACAGGUGAGGGAAAAGCUUCUGAGGAACACAGUGAAUGAGUGAAGAUGUUGGCAAUGGAUAUAGGGACCACCAGCUCGUUAUGGUGAACACAGAGUCACCGAAGAAGGCACCAGCGUGUAUCUCUGCCCACAGUUCCUGACGGACACUCCUUUGUACUCAGUGGGAAGAAGGCAACAUCUAUCUGUGUGGCUCAGCACGAGGGUAAGGAAGGUACAGGGGACCUGCGGAUCUGAAGCCUUAAUUCCCUGAAUCAUCUAAUGAAAUCAUCAGCUCAGUAGUUGGGUGCUCUUGUCCUCUCCUGUCACCAAGAAGCAUCCCUCUGCCUGGAGGCAAUCAACUACAAGGGACAGACUCAUGCACAAGGACCAUGGAAAGCCUUGGAGAGACCAUGCAAAUCAGGCCAGCCUUUCCAACUACUGAAGUAAACCUUCAGGAGCCUUGCAGGCAAAGAUAAAUUUUAGGAUGAGCUCUUCGGUUUUGACAAGUUUCUUGUUGUGAUUUUGAUUAAGAGUGUACUGAAUCUACAGAUAAAUAUGAGGACCAUCAACAUAUUAAAAAUACUGGAUUAUCUUAUCCAUGAACAUGGUAUAUCUUUCCACUUAUUUGGAUCUUCUUUAGUUUCUCACAGCAAUAUUUUAUUUCAACAGGGAGUUCUUGUAUGUCUUUAAUUAAAUUUAUUCCUUAGUAUUUUAUGAUUUUUUAAAAUUCUGUUUUAAAAGAAUUGAAACAUUUUUUAUUCUCCUAUUCUUUACUGUUAGUAUAUAGAAAUGCAAAUGUUUAGGCAUAUUGAUCAU